GAUAGAGUGGCUGAAAUUUAGGUGAUAAAUUGUAAAUUUAUUUAUGAUUAUAAAAUAAUCCUCUAUCA
RNAcentral lists this transfer RNA (68 nucleotides) under Cazira horvathi. RNAcentral's name for it is "tRNA-Tyr". The record is from RNAcentral. Lineage: Eukaryota; Metazoa; Arthropoda; Insecta; Hemiptera; Pentatomidae.